UGAUAUUUAUGCCCCCCUUUGAAGAAGAAGGGGUAUAUUGCUUUGCACAUGUUGGUCUGUCGGUCGGUCUGUCGGUCCGUCCACCAGUUGGUUUCCGGAUGAUAACUCAAGAACGCUUAGGCCUAGGAUCAUGAAACUUCAAAGGUAGAUAGAUCAUGACUCGCAGGUGACCCCUAUUGAUUUUGAGGUCACUAGGUCAAAGGUCGAGGUCAUGGUGACUCGAAACAGUAAAAUGGUUUCCGGAUGAUAACUCAAGAACGCAUAUGCCUUGCAGGAUCAUGAAACUUCAUAGGUAGAUUGAUCAUGACUUGCAGAUGACCCCUAUUGAUUUUGAGGUCACUAGGUCAACGGUCAAGGUCACGGUGACCCGAAAUAGUAAAAUGGUUUCCGGAUGAUAACUCAAGAACGCAUAUGCCUAGGAUCAUGAAACUUCAUAGGUAGAUUGAUCAUGACUUGCAGAUGACCCCUAUUGAUUUUGAGGUCACUAGGUCAAAGGUCAAGGUCACAGUGACCAGAAAUAGUAAAAAUGUUUUCCGGAUGAUAACUCAAGAACGCAUACGCCUAGGAUCAUGAAACUUAAUAGGUAGAUAGAUCAUGACUUGCAGAUGAACCCUAUUGAUUUUGAGGUCAGUAGGUCAAAGGUCAAGGUCACGGUGACCCGAAAUAGUACAAUAGUUUCCGGAUGAUAACUCAAGAACACAUAUGCCUAGGAUCAUGAAACUUCAUGGGUAGAUUGAUCAUGACUCACAGAUGACCCCUAUUGAUUUUGAGGUCACUAGGUCAAAGGUCAAGGUCACAGUGACCCGAAAUAGUUAAAUGGUUUCCGGAUGAUUACUCAAGAACACUUACGCCUAGGAUCAUGAAACUUCAUAGGUACAUUGAUCAUGACUCGCAGAUGACCCAUAUUGAUUUUCAGGUCACUAGGUCAAAGGUCAAGGUCAAGGUGACCCAAAACAGUAACAUUGUUUCCGGAUGAUAACUCAAGAACGCUUUUGCCUAGGAUCAUGACACUUCAUAGGUACAUUAAUCAUGACUCGCAGAUGACCCCUAUUGAUUUUCAGCUCACUAGGUCAAAGGUCAAGGUCACAGUGACAAAAACCGUAUUCACACAAUGGCUGCCACUACAACGGACAGCCCUUAUUAGGGGCAUGCAUGUUUUACAAACAGCCCUUGUUGUUUAUGUUUCACUUUGUAGAAAUUCUAAAUGCUCAUAUUUAGUUAUGUUCUACUGUGUAUCUAUUCUGAAAUCCAAAAUGUGCCAUUUAAAAAGUAUUUUCUGUGUAUCACUAUAAAUUAACAGGUACUAAACAGCCAUUUGGAGUUCAUAUAUCCUGGAAUAAAAGUAGGAUGUUCAGUACAAAAGUGAUAUAAUGAGCCAGGUACUGAAAAGAACUGGGCUUAAUGCACGAGUUUAAAAUGUUGUCCCAGAUUAGCUUUUCUUGGAUGAUGACUCUUAAAGCACAUGACUAGUUUUCCUGGAACAAGGCUCUAACCAUGAAUAAGAAUUUAAUAAAAAAUGUUAGGUCGACUA
Molecule: long non-coding RNA, 1531 nt
Organism: Dreissena polymorpha
Lineage: Eukaryota; Metazoa; Mollusca; Bivalvia; Myida; Dreissenidae
Exons: 2
Source: RefSeq, a predicted model, not a curated record